Molecule: ribosomal RNA, 547 nt
Filed under: uncultured bacterium
Lineage: Bacteria
Description: bacterial SSU rRNA
Rfam family: Bacterial small subunit ribosomal RNA
Source: RNAcentral
UGGGGAAUAUUGCGCAAUGGGGGGAACCCUGACGCAGCCAUGCCGCGUGAAUGAAGAAGGCCUUAGGGUUGUAAAGUUCUUUCGGUAUUGAGGAAGGUUGAUGUGUUAAUAGCACAUCAAAUUGACGUUAAAUACAGAAGAAGCACCGGCUAACUCCGUGCCAGCAGCCGCGGUAAUACGGAGGGUGCGAGCGUUAAUCGGAAUAACUGGGCGUAAAGGGCACGCAGGCGGUUAUUUAAGUGAGGUGUGAAAGCCCCGGGCUUAACCUGGGAAUUGCAUUUCAGACUGGGUAACUAGAGUACUUUAGGGAGGGGUAGAAUUCCACGUGUAGCGGUGAAAUGCGUAGAGAUGUGGAGGAAUACCGAAGGCGAAGGCAGCCCCUUGGGAAUGUACUGACGCUCAUGUGCGAAAGCGUGGGGAGCAAACAGGAUUAGAUACCCCGGUAGUCCACGCUGUAAACGCUGUCGAUUUGGGGGUUGGGGUUUAACUUUGGCGCCCGUAGCUAACGUGAUAAAUCGACCGCCUGGGGAGUACGGCCGCAAGGUUA